UACGUAGGGUGCAGGCGUUAAUCGGAAUUACUGGGCGUAAAGCGUGCGCCGGCGGUUUGUUAAGACAGAUGUGAAAGCCCCGGGCUUAACCUGGGAACUGCGUUUGAAACUGGGAGACUUGAGUGUGGCAGAGGGGGGUGGAAUUCCACGUGUAGCAGUGAAAUGCGUAGAUAUGUGGAGGAACACCGAUGGCGAAGGCAGCCCCCUGGGCUAACACUGACGCUCAUGCACGAAAGCGUGGGGAGCAAACAGG
Molecule: ribosomal RNA, 253 nt
Filed under: uncultured bacterium
Lineage: Bacteria
Description: partial 16S ribosomal RNA
Rfam family: Bacterial small subunit ribosomal RNA
Source: RNAcentral